AGUGAACGCUGGCGGUAGGCCUAACACAUGCGAGUCGAACGGCAGCACAGUAAGAGCUUGCUCUUACGGGUGGCGAGUGGCGGACGGGUGAGGAAUACAUCAGAAUCUACUUUUUCGUGGGGGAUAACGUAGGGAAACUUACGCUAAUACCGCAUACGACCUACGGGUGAAAGCAGGGGAUCUUCGGACCUUGCGCGAUUGAAUGAGCCGAUGUCGGAUUAGCUAGUUGGCGGGGUAAAGGCCCACCAAGGCGACGAUCCGUAGCUGGUCUGAGAGGAUGAUCAGCCACACUGAAACUGAGACACGGUCCAGACUCCUACGGGAGGCAGCAGUGGGGAAUAUUGGACAAUGGGCGCAAGCCUGAUCCAGCCAUACCGCGUGGGUGAAGAAGGCCUUCGGGUUGUAAAGCCCUUUUGUUGGGAAAGAAAAGCAGCAGGUUAAUACCCCGCUGUUCUGACGGUACCCAAAGAAUAAGCACCGGCUAACUUCGUG
This 492-nucleotide ribosomal RNA is filed under the name uncultured bacterium. Its description in RNAcentral is "partial 16S ribosomal RNA". It matches the Rfam family "Bacterial small subunit ribosomal RNA", at positions 29 to 507 of the family's 1533-position model. The record is from RNAcentral.